This 253-nucleotide ribosomal RNA is filed under the name uncultured bacterium. RNAcentral describes it as "partial 16S ribosomal RNA". It matches the Rfam family "Bacterial small subunit ribosomal RNA", at positions 524 to 776 of the family's 1533-position model. The record is from RNAcentral.
UACGUAGGGUGCAAGCGUUGUCCGGAAUUAUUGGGCGUAAAGGGCUCGUAGGCGGUCCAUCGCGUCGGGAGUGAAAAGCUGGGGCUUAACCCCAGUCCUGCUUCCGAUACGGGUGGACUAGAGGUAGGUAGGGGAGAACGGAAUUCCCGGUGUAGAGGUGAAAUUCGUAGAUAUCGGGAGGAACACCAGUGGCGAAGGCGGCGACCUGGACCACGACUGACACUGAAAAGCGAAAGCCAGGGGAGCAAACGGG